GAUGAACGCUGGCGGCGUGCUUAACACAUGCAAGUCGAACGAUGAAGCCCAGCUUGCUGGGUGGAUUAGUGGCGAACGGGUGAGUAACACGUGAGUAACCUGCCCUUAACUCUGGGAUAAGCCUGGGAAACUGGGUCUAAUACCGGAUAGGAGCGUCCACCGCAUGGUGGAUGUUGGAAAGAUUUAUCGGUUUUGGAUGGACUCGCGGCCUAUCAGCUUGUUGGUGAGGUAAUGGCUCACCAAGGCGACGACGGGUAGCCGGCCUGAGAGGGUGACCGGCCACACUGGGACUGAGACACGGCCCAGACUCCUACGGGAGGCAGCAGUGGGGAAUAUUGCACAAUGGGCGCAAGCCUGAUGCAGCGACGCCGCGUGAGGGAUGACGGCCUUCGGGUUGUAAACCUCUUUCAGUAGGGAAGAAGCGAAAGUAACGGUACCUGCAGAAGAAGCACCGGCUAACUACGCG
RNAcentral lists this ribosomal RNA (466 nucleotides) under uncultured bacterium. RNAcentral's name for it is "partial 16S ribosomal RNA". It matches the Rfam family "Bacterial small subunit ribosomal RNA", at positions 28 to 507 of the family's 1533-position model. The record is from RNAcentral.